AGUGAACGCUGGCGGUAGGCCUAACACAUGCAAGUCGAACGGCAGCACAGUAAGAGCUUGCUCUUACGGGUGGCGAGUGGCGGACGGGUGAGGAAUACAUCGGAAUCUACUUUUUCGUGGGGGAUAACGUAGGGAGACUUACGCUAAUACCGCAUACGACCUACGGGUGAAAGCAGGGGAUCUUCGGACCUUGCGCGAUUGAAUGAGCCGAUGUCGGAUUAGCUAGUUGGCGGGGUAAAGGCCCACCAAGGCGAUGAUCCGUAGCUGGUCUGAGAGGAUGAUCAGCCACACUGGAACUGAGACACGGUCCAGACUCCUACGGGAGGCAGCAGUGGGGAAUAUUGGACAAUGGGCGCAAGCCUGAUCCAGCCAUACCGCGUGGGUGAAGAAGGCCUUCGGGUUGUAAAGCCCUUUUGUUGGGAAAGAAAAGCAGCAGGUUAAUACCCCGCUGUUCUGACGGUACCCAAAGAAUAAGCACCGGCUAACUUCGUG
RNAcentral lists this ribosomal RNA (492 nucleotides) under uncultured bacterium. Its description in RNAcentral is "partial 16S ribosomal RNA". It matches the Rfam family "Bacterial small subunit ribosomal RNA", at positions 29 to 507 of the family's 1533-position model. The record is from RNAcentral.